UAACAAACCUGAUUGGAACGGCAGCUCCCGAUUUUACAUCGGGACUAAAGUGUAAAGCACGACUAUAU
This 68-nucleotide unclassified non-coding RNA is filed under the name Pedobacter xixiisoli. RNAcentral describes it as "Flavo-1 RNA". Lineage: Bacteria; Pseudomonadati; Bacteroidota; Sphingobacteriia; Sphingobacteriales; Sphingobacteriaceae. The record is from RNAcentral.